UGGGGAAUAUUGCACAAUGGGCGCAAGCCUGAUGCAGCCAUGCCGCGUGUAUGAAGAAGGCCUUCGGGUUGUAAAGUACUUUCAGCGGGGAGGAAGGGAGUAAAGUUAAUACCUUUGCUCAUUGACGUUACCCGCAGAAGAAGCACCGGCUAACUCCGUGCCAGCAGCCGCGGUAAUACGGAGGGUGCAAGCGUUAAUCGGAAUUACUGGGCGUAAAGCGCACGCAGGCGGUUUGUUAAGUCAGAUGUGAAAUCCCCGGGCUCAACCUGGGAACUGCAUCUGAUACUGGCAAGCUUGAGUCUCGUAGAGGGGGGUAGAAUUCCAGGUGUAGCGGUGAAAUGCGUAGAGAUCUGGAGGAAUACCGGUGGCGAAGGCGGCCCCCUGGACGAAGACCGACGCUCAGGUGCGAAAGCGUGGGGAGCAAACAGG
Molecule: ribosomal RNA, 429 nt
Filed under: Chloroflexota bacterium
Lineage: Bacteria; Bacillati; Chloroflexota
Description: Chloroflexi bacterium partial 16S ribosomal RNA
Rfam family: Bacterial small subunit ribosomal RNA
Source: RNAcentral